RNAcentral lists this ribosomal RNA (631 nucleotides) under Agrobacterium pusense. RNAcentral's name for it is "bacterial SSU rRNA". It matches the Rfam family "Bacterial small subunit ribosomal RNA", at positions 90 to 756 of the family's 1533-position model. Lineage: Bacteria; Pseudomonadati; Pseudomonadota; Alphaproteobacteria; Hyphomicrobiales; Rhizobiaceae. The record is from RNAcentral.
GGGGAGUGGCAGACGGGUGAGUAACGCGUGGGAACAUACCCUUUCCUGCGGAAUAGCUCCGGGAAACUGGAAUUAAUACCGCAUACGCCCUACGGGGGAAAGAUUUAUCGGGGAAGGAUUGGCCCGCGUUGGAUUAGCUAGUUGGUGGGGUAAAGGCCUACCAAGGCGACGAUCCAUAGCUGGUCUGAGAGGAUGAUCAGCCACAUUGGGACUGAGACACGGCCCAAACUCCUACGGGAGGCAGCAGUGGGGAAUAUUGGACAAUGGGCGCAAGCCUGAUCCAGCCAUGCCGCGUGAGUGAUGAAGGCCUUAGGGUUGUAAAGCUCUUUCACCGAUGAAGAUAAUGACGGUAGUCGGAGAAGAAGCCCCGGCUAACUUCGUGCCAGCAGCCGCGGUAAUACGAAGGGGGCUAGCGUUGUUCGGAAUUACUGGGCGUANAGCGCACGUAGGCGGAUAUUUAAGUCAGGGGUGAAAUCCCGCAGCUCAACUGCGGAACUGCCUUUGAUACUGGGUAUCUUGAGUAUGGAAGAGGUAAGUGGAAUUCCGAGUGUAGAGGUGAAAUUCGNAGAUAUUCGGAGGAACACCAGUGGCGAAGGCGGCUUACUGGUCCAUUACUGACGCUGAGGUGCGA